GACGAACGCUGGCGGCGUGCUUAACACAUGCAAGUCACGGGGGCCCAGCAAUGGGUAACCGGCGAACGGGUGCGUAACACGUGAGCGACCUGCCUUUCCGCGGGGGAUAGCCGGCCCAACGGCCGGGUAAUACCGCAUACGCUUGUCCUGGGGCAUCCCGGGACAAGGAAACCUCCGGGGCGGAGAGAGGGGCUCGCGACCUAUCAGCUAGUUGGCGAGGUAACGGCUCACCAAGGCGGCGACGGGUAGCUGGUCGAGAGGAUGGCCAGCCACAUUGGGACUGAGAUACGGCCCAGACUCCUACGGGAGGCAGCAGUGGGGAAUAUUGCGCAAUGGCCUAACGGCUGACGCAGCGACGCCGCGUGUGGGAGGACG
This 375-nucleotide ribosomal RNA is filed under the name uncultured bacterium. RNAcentral's name for it is "bacterial SSU rRNA". It matches the Rfam family "Bacterial small subunit ribosomal RNA", at positions 28 to 413 of the family's 1533-position model. The record is from RNAcentral.